RNAcentral lists this ribosomal RNA (249 nucleotides) under uncultured Bacteroidota bacterium. RNAcentral's name for it is "uncultured Bacteroidetes bacterium partial 16S ribosomal RNA". It matches the Rfam family "Bacterial small subunit ribosomal RNA", at positions 100 to 333 of the family's 1533-position model. The record is from RNAcentral. Lineage: Bacteria; Pseudomonadati; Bacteroidota.
GACCGGCGGCACGGGUGGAGUAACGACGUAUGCAACUUACCUAUCAGAGGGGGAUAACCCGGCGAAAGUCGGACUAAUACCGCAUGAAGCAGGGGCCCCGCAUGGGGAGGUAUUUUGUCUAAAGAAUUCUAUCGCUGAUAGAUAGGCAUGCGUUCCAUUAGGCAGUUGGCGGGGUAACGGCCCACCAAACCGACGAUGGAUAGGGGUUCUGAGAGGAAGGUCCCCCACAUUGGUACUGAGCACGGACCA